RNAcentral lists this unclassified non-coding RNA (273 nucleotides) under Hevea brasiliensis (rubber tree). Lineage: Eukaryota; Viridiplantae; Streptophyta; Magnoliopsida; Malpighiales; Euphorbiaceae. The record is from RNAcentral.
CCUCAUUGUACUUAGAGAUUUCAUAUCACCUAUAUGGAUUCUCUCUAAGCACUGGAGAAAUCCUCUCGUUUUCGUUUUUAGUUUCCUGCUUAAAGGAUUUGCUGGCCUUCUUUGGCUCUCCCCUGCCCCUCCCAAGCAAAAGGGGCUCUCCCCACCAUCAAGUGGUGGGGCGUAUAUACUUUUUGGUCUUCUUUUGUUGGUGGUGCUUGCAGAUUGAGCAGCUCAUUGAGGAGUUUUGCGCUAAAAGGUGAGGAUGGAAGCUGCUCUCUUGUG